GAUUGUUUUAACUUUAUAUGCUUUGUUCAACGUGAAUUGAAAGUGAUUGUGGAUGAUGUGGUUCACAGAGUACAAUGAGUCUGUGUAGCUGCUUUGGAUUCUUGCUGUUUGUCCUCCACAAUCUCCCAGGCACCACAGAGGAUUUCUUCCUAGAUUCGUCUCAUUCUGCUUUUCCCAUCACCUUCGGUUUGGGAGUCAUCUUCAUGUCUGUUAUUUUAGUCGUUUUUGCUGCAUAUAAAUGGAAACAAAACAAAAACAGAAACAAAGAGAGGGAGCACCUUAAGACAACUGAGAAGAAUUCAAUCAAGGCUUUCCAUACAGGACAAAGAGACAAUGAGACCAAGAAUUUGGAGGAUGAAAUCGAUGAAAUUCAGCAUCUCCGAGACCAGAAUCAGAGCAUGGGGAACGAGCUGCAGACCUUGAAGAGAGAGCUGGAGACCAACAAAAAACAGUCAGCUGACAAGGCCAGGGGGCAGACCUUUGAGGAGCUUAAGAACACCCAGUUUGAACUGGAGAAAAAGACUGCGGAGAUCAGGAACCUGCGGAGAGAGUUUGAUGACAGACUCAGGGAAGAGAAUCAGAGUAAAGAGAAAUGCCUGCAGACCCUGAAGGAGGAGCUGGAGAGCAAGAACAAGGAGCUUUGUGAGUCCAAGCUUCAGUUCGAAUCUCUCAUGAAGAAGAAUCAGGAGUUUGAGAGAAAGCUGACUGAACUUAGAGAGCUGCACAAGCAGGUGUUAAAGAAGAUGGUCGAGGAUGAGCAGCAGAGGACGGAGGAAGUACAAAAGGAAGUGGAGACCCUGAAGAUGGAGCUGGAGAAGAAGAAGGACGAGAAAAGCCAAGCAGGGGAGUCAGAUGUUCAGAAAUCUCUGAUAGUAUGUGACAGCUCUGGAGAAGAACAUUUAGUGUCAGAGGAACAGAGUAAAGCAGCGGAGAUGGCUGAAGAAUUACCAAAUGUUGCAAAAGAAGUUGUGAACUGACAAUCUGUACAACAAGCAGAAUCCAGUGAUUUGUUUGAUUUGGAGCUAUUAUGUACAUAUUCAGUGCAAAAGAAGUAGUGUGAUGCAGUUUGGGAAGUUUAAAUUGUUUGAUGACUGACUGCACUAAAAGUACAUAAACAAUUCUGAAAAAAAAAUAAAAACAUACUUGUAUUUAUACCUUAAACAGCCUUUUAAUAUAUAUGACUAUAAUAUAAUAUUCAUCACUGCUAUUUUUAAUUGCCUUACUCUAUGUUGUUACUGUAACAGUUUAAUAAAAUAAUUACUUCUGUG
This 1268-nucleotide long non-coding RNA is filed under the name Dicentrarchus labrax (European seabass). Its description in RNAcentral is "lncRNA (ENSDLAG00005016934.2)". The record is from RNAcentral. Lineage: Eukaryota; Metazoa; Chordata; Actinopteri; Moronidae.